Molecule: ribosomal RNA, 722 nt
Filed under: uncultured Fusobacterium sp.
Lineage: Bacteria; Fusobacteriati; Fusobacteriota; Fusobacteriia; Fusobacteriales; Fusobacteriaceae
Description: bacterial SSU rRNA
Rfam family: Bacterial small subunit ribosomal RNA
Source: RNAcentral
GAUGAACGCUGACAGAAUGCUUAACACAUGUAAGUCUACUUGAACUUCGGUUUGGGUGGCGGACGGGUGAGUAACGCGUAAAGAACUUGCCUCACAGUUAGGGACAACAUUUGGAAACGAAUGCUAAUACCUGAUAUUAUGAUUUUAGGGCAUCCUAAGAUUAUGAAAGCUAUAUGCGCUGUGAGAGAGCUUUGCGUCCCAUUAGCUAGUUGGAGAGGUAACGGCUCACCAAGGCGAUGAUGGGUAGCCGGCCUGAGAGGGUGAACGGCCACAAGGGGACUGAGACACGGCCCUUACUCCUACGGGAAGCAGCAGUGGGGAAUAUUGGACAAUGGACCAAAAGUCUGAUCCAGCAAUUCUGUGUGCACGAUGACGUUUUUCGGAAUGUAAAGUGCUUUCAGUUGGGAAGAAAAAAAUGACGGUACCAACAGAAGAAGUGACGGCUAAAUACGUGCCAGCAGCCGCGGUAAUACGUAUGUCACAAGCGUUAUCCGGAUUUAUUGGGCGUAAAGCGCGUCUAGGUGGUUAUGUAAGUCUGAUGUGAAAAUGCAGGGCUCAACUCUGUAUUGCGUUGGAAACUGCAUGACUAGAGUACUGGAGAGGUAAGCGGAACUACAAGUGUAGAGGUGAAAUUCGUAGAUAUUUGUAGGAAUGCCGAUGGGGAAGCCAGCUUACUGGACAGAUACUGACGCUAAAGCGCGAAAGCGUGGGUAGCAAACAGG